GCCAGACAGAAGAAGGGACACCUGGGGCAAAGUCUGCGAGGCUUCCAGAGGCAAAGCUUUGGCAUCCUCAGAGAUGCUUUAUCCUCCCAGCAUGCAAGUGUGGCAGUAAUCAAAGGGCAUUGCCAACAAAGGAAGCUCACCUGAGCUUCACUGUCGAGUUUCUAUUUGGGAUUCCUUAUGUAGGCGUGAUGCAUGAUGAAUUGAAUCUGUGAACUGAUCAAAUCAUCGGCCAUGUGGUUGAGCUCAAUAUCUAGCCUUCCCAGAGGUCAGGCCGGUAGCCUGUGUCUCCUAUCUCAAAGCCCCAGCCCUCUAGUAGCUAGUUGGCCUCUCUGGCAUGACUAGCCUCCAUCCCGAGUCAUGUCUUAUGCAUAAACUUUGGAACCCACCAGGAAUAACAAGGACACUCCUAUCACUUGGAGAUUCCAAGGAUGUAGAGGCUCCCUCCAAGGUUCCAGAAGGCCAGCCAAGUUCUUUAUUAUAUACCAACUGAUUGCUGUGACUUAGCGGUUAAUGAAAAGUGGGACUUGGGGUUCCUUUAGAUUUCAGGCCUGACGCAACCCCUUGGAUACAGACUACAUGAAAUGAAAGUGUUAAGAAGGAUGUGUGCAUGCUAUUUGUUUACUCCGAAGAGUGACCCUUGGAGCCAAUAUCAGUUUACAGGCUGCCCUGGCUUGCUGGGGCACAGACAGUGAAGAGCAUAUUCAGAAUGAAGGAGGUGUUACUCUAGAGCAGUGGCUCUCCGACUUGCAUCAGAAUCACCUGGAGAUCUUGUUAACAUGCAGACUUCAGGGUCCUGCCCCUGAGUCUUAACUGGUCUGGAAGAGAGCCCAAGAGUUGCCCUGUCUGUGGAGUUUCCGGGUGAUGCUGAUCCUGCUGGCCCGGGGACGGCACUUCAAGAAGUGGAAGAAUAGCCUCUGUGGUUAUCGCUCUGUCACCCAGGCUGGAGUACGGCAGUGCAAUCAUGGCUCAUUGCAGCCUUGACCUCCUAGGCUCAAGUGAUUCUUCAUCCUCGGCUUCCCAAAUAGCUGGACUACAGAAAGUGAAAGAAGGGGGAAGACUCAAGAUGGCCAAAUAGGCACAGCUCUGGAAUGGAAUUCCCAGCAAGAACAAUGCAGAGGCAGUGCCAGACAGGACGUCGGCUUUGAAGUUGAUGGUGCUUUUCUUCAGUGCCUCUUUCUGUUGGAGUGGGGCAGGUCAAGCUUGGGGCUGGUGGUGCUGCACAUACUGGAGCUGGAGCAUACAAAGUCACCCAGCCCUGUGUCUGAAUGGGAAAAAACAGUGUUGUCUGUUGUCUCACCAUGUGUUGGAGACGUCCUGAGGCGUAUCGUGCUUGCAUCUGGUUGGUCAGAAGUGUUGUACUCAAAGCUGUGUCUAUAGAGGGAGACAAUAAAAAAAGAUGUGACCAUUGAUAAAAGUGAAUCAACUCGUUUAUUCGGCUGCUGCAUUUAGGCUGUUUACCUACCUCUACUUUUAUCUAUUGAAAUGAAUGUAUAGACAUAGGAUAGAACCAGGCAAGAUGGCACACGCUUGUAGUCCCAGCUCCUCAGGAGGCUGAGAUGGGAAAAUCCCUUGAACCCAGGUCAGGAAUUUGAGGCCACCAUGAGUAACACAACGAGACCCUCCUUUAUUUAAAAACAAACAAAGGAACAAAAAAAGAAAAAUGUUGGCUUUGAGUCGUACAAAAUCAGCUUUGCAUAAAAUAAAUCAAGAUGGCAGUACAUUUUAAAAGACAGGUCUAUUUUAUAGGCAAAAUAUGUAUCCUGGAGUUUAAAUUAAAAAAAAAAAUUCGGCAUAUCUGUCAUUUCCAUGUCAUUCUGAGGACACAGAACCUUAGUUCUGUUAAGUAGCUGUCUUCCAUAGUCAUGUGAGAUCUCUAAGUCUUUAU
RNAcentral lists this long non-coding RNA (1885 nucleotides) under Callithrix jacchus (white-tufted-ear marmoset). Its description in RNAcentral is "lncRNA (ENSCJAG00000074098.1)". The record is from RNAcentral. Lineage: Eukaryota; Metazoa; Chordata; Mammalia; Primates; Cebidae.